This is a long non-coding RNA of Sander lucioperca (pikeperch), 238 nucleotides long. RefSeq lists it as uncharacterized. The transcript has 3 exons. The record is from RefSeq and is a predicted model, not a curated record. Lineage: Eukaryota; Metazoa; Chordata; Actinopteri; Perciformes; Percidae.
CUUUGCCUACACGACCCUCUCCCUAGGGCGUGGGCCCGGGUGGAGCCGCUGCGGGUGCAGAUGUUGGUGGUAGUAGCAAAUAUUCAAACGAGAACUUUGAAGGCCAAAGUGGAGAAGAGUUCCAUGUGAACAGCAGUUGAACAUGGGUUAGUCGGUCCUAAGAGAUGGGCGAACGCCGUUCGGAAGGGUGGGGUGAUGGCCUACGUCGGCCCCGGGCGAUUGAAAGGGAGUUGGGUUC